Molecule: ribosomal RNA, 304 nt
Filed under: uncultured bacterium
Lineage: Bacteria
Description: partial 16S ribosomal RNA
Rfam family: Bacterial small subunit ribosomal RNA
Source: RNAcentral
CAGCAGCAGCCGCGGGAAUACGGAGGGGGCUAGCGUUGUUCGGAAUUACUGGGCGUAAAGCGCACGUAGGCGGCUAUGUAAGUUAGAGGUGAAAGCCUGGAGCUCAACUCCAGAAUUGCCUUUAAGCCUGCGUGGCUAGCAGGUGAGAGAGGUGAGUGGAAUUCCGAGUGUAGAGGUGAAAUUCGUAGAUAUUCGGAAGAACACCAGUGGCGAAGGCGGCUCACUGGCUCAUACUGGACGCUGAGGUGCGAAAGCGUGGGGAGCAAACAGGAUUAGAUACCCCGGUAGUCCCUGUCUCUUAUAC